UGGGGAAUAUUGGACAAUGGGGGCAACCCUGAUCCAGCAAUACCGCGUGUGUGAAGAAGGCCUGCGGGUUGUAAAGCACUUUCAGUGGGGAAGAAAAGCGGGUGGUUAACAGCUGCCUGGAUUGACGUUACCCACAGAAGAAGCACCGGCUAACUCCGUGCCAGCAGCCGCGGUAAUACGGAGGGUGCAAGCGUUAAUCGGAAUUACUGGGCGUAAAGCGCGCGUAGGCGGCUUGGUCAGUCAGAUGUGAAAUCCCAGGGCUCAACCUUGGAACUGCAUUUGAUACUGCCAGGCUAGAGUAUGUUAGAGGAAAGCGGAAUUCCGGGUGUAGCGGUGAAAUGCGUAGAUAUCCGGAGGAACAUCAGUGGCGAAGGCGGCUUUCUGGAACAAUACUGACGCUGAGGUGCGAAAGCGUGGGGAGCAAACA
This 427-nucleotide ribosomal RNA is filed under the name uncultured Gammaproteobacteria bacterium. RNAcentral describes it as "bacterial SSU rRNA". It matches the Rfam family "Bacterial small subunit ribosomal RNA", at positions 355 to 774 of the family's 1533-position model. The record is from RNAcentral. Lineage: Bacteria; Pseudomonadati; Pseudomonadota; Gammaproteobacteria.